CAGAAGGAGGGACCUGCCGCCUAACUUAGUAGCCCAUGACGUCAGUUAGAGGUAGCUGGGCACUACCGAGAGGAAGAAGUUAAGAUGGUUCUCAUCAAGGAGUACCGUGUGGUUUUACCCUGUAGUGUCGAAGAGUAUCAAGUGGGGCAGCUGUUUUCUGUGGCUGAAGCGAGUAAAAAUGAGACGGGUGGUGGUGAGGGCAUUGAGGUACUCAAGAAUGAGCCAUAUGAAAAAGAUGGAGAAAAAGGACAGUACACACACAAAAUUUACCACCUAAAGAGUAAAGUCCCAGGAUUUGUCAGACUCCUAGCUCCUGAAGGUGCCCUGGUUUUCCAUGAAAAGGCUUGGAAUGCCUACCCCUACUGCAGAACCAUUGUGACGAAUGAAUAUAUGAAAGAUAAUUUCUUCAUUAAAAUUGAGACAUGGCACAAACCGGACCUUGGAAUGCAAGAAAAUGUGCACAAACUUGACAGUCCCACGUGGAAGAAUGUAACGGUGGUGCCCAUUGACAUUGCAGACAGAAGUCAAGUGGCCCAUGCUGACUACAAGGAAGAUGAGGAUCCUGCCAUUUUCAAGUCUGUCAAGACUGGGAGAGGACCUCUUGGUCCCAACUGGAAGAAAGAGCUGAAUAGUAAUCCUGAAUGCCCAAGGAUGUGUGCCUACAAAUUAGUCACAGUCAAGUUCAAGUGGUGGGGCCUGCAGACCAAAGUGGAGAACUUCAUCCACGAGCAAGAGAAGAGGAUCUUCACAAACUUCCAUCGCCAACUCUUCUGUUGGAUUGAUAAGUGGGUGGAGCUAAAUAUGGAUGAUAUACGGCGUAUGGAGGCGGAAACGCAGAGAGAACUGGAUGAGAGGCGUAAGAAUGGCUCUGUACGAGGUACAAAGGCUACAGAGGAGUAGCAAGGCCAAGUGCUUCAGUUUCUGCGUCUUGCAUUCACUCUAAACCUCUCCACUGCCUUGCUCUUGAAACUUCUCCAAAUAUCAGUCUGGGAGCUUUUGGCCGUACAAGGAGAACAAGGGAGGAAUCUGGGCUGGACCGGCCAAAGUGGGCCAGUCUCAAACAUUCCUGGCUCGCUACCAGCAUGCAGAAUUUUUGCGCUUUGCCUUCUCACAUCUCGCCCAGCUGAGCAUGUGUUUCCAGUUUUCCCUUGGAGUAAGUAAACAGCUUCGCAAAAAGGGUGAUGUGCGAGGAACCAGUGCUGCAGAUGAAUGAAAAGGAUUUUAAACACCACACCCACAAUGACAGCAGUUGUGAGGACUGCUAAGCGGGCUCCUUUGGUGCCACUUUUUUACCCUAACUGAAUCACGCUGUGGAGGAGGGAGCGCUGCUACCUGCAAUCAGUAGAGCAGAUCCCCGGCUUUAACCCAAUCAUAGUCAUUCUAUCCAGUGAGGAAUUGAUUUAUAGCCACCGAUACGAUGCUAGCUGAUGAGACUCUGGUUAAUUUUGAUCUUGGACAGAGAAAGGCCGGCUAUGGCCAUCAGGAUAUUGAGACCUAGUCUUCUGCAGAGAUGCAAAGAAAAGCUAUUUGCUUUUUUUAAGAAAAAAACAAAACAAAAGCUAAUUCAUCACCUUGAUUCCACAGUGGCAGGUGUUGGACCAAAUAUAUCCAGCUCCCCCAACCUCCUUUUUUUCCCUACCCAAAAAACCCCCAUUCCUCACAGAAUGAUGCCCUCUGUGACCUCUCUUUGUCUCUUCCUCAGUCUUAACUGUACACACUGUGGCUCAGUGUGUGGUUUGCAUUCCCUGGCAGGAGACUGUUUGUCAUGCUCUUGUUCCUUCCUGCCAUAACCUCCAUUAAGUGAUUACUAACAGCCUUGGCGUCUUGGCCCAUUGUAAUCCUUCUUCCAUCACCCCCCUCACCUUAUCGAAGCACUGCAUCUUAUUAACACUGACAAUCAUGUCUGUACAGGUAUUCACUCUCACUCCCACAUGCAGAGGUAACAGGAAGCCCACACACACACACACACAUUCAUAUGACACAUACAGUGCGCAGAUGAGGAUAAACAUACGAAUUCAUCCUUACACACACACACACACACACACACACACACACACACACACUCUCGCAGGUGUGGAUACCUUUGUGCUGACUGAUCUUGGAGAAACUCAAGCAGGGGCAGAUCCUUGCGAGCUCGUUCAGCUAAAGGAUGUUGCUUUGGAUAUGUUUACAGCUCUCACCCCCACCCCGUACUUGCUAUUCUGAAAACAGUCGCACAUAACAUACAUUGCAGCAUUCACCUCUCUAACAGAUGUCCCUAGAGGAAAAAAUAAAAAGUAAAAAAAAAAAAAAUGCACUGAAAAACAGCCACAGAUGGUGCUACACCCCUCCAGCCUCUGUCACAAGCCAAACUGUGCUGCACUCACCCAGCCCACCACCAGAGGCCUUUCUCGCUCCUCCGGCUCUCUGAGGUAGACAGUUUCCAGAAGGCCUCCUCCUCCUCUGCAUCAUUCUAGCUGUGUUUACAGAUUUGUAAUUGCCUUAUCAGUGCCUAGUGGAUACCAGUACCAUGUAGAGUUGCUUAUGUGUCCAGGCCUUUACACCUAUCAGAGCUACUACACUUAAUGAACCUCUGCUGCCAGCCAUUGUUUUAGCUACCUCUCUCAUUUCUGACUGGCCAUUUUUCCUGAUGCCCUAAAGUGUGUCCACCAAAUGUUUUGGAAAAUGUCAGGCACCCAGUUGAACCCUUAAGACGCACAUAGGUUUGGGUUCUUUUUUGUUUUGUUCUGUUUUUCCCAUGUGAGAGGAUCUAUUAGUAUGCCACACAAUAUUUUUGUCAAAGCGGUUCAAAUACACGACUGUGCCUGGUAGCCGGUUUACAAAUAAAAUGUUCCUUCAAGCACUGUUUUUAUAUCAAUACUGUCUGGUUGUCAUCUGCAGACAUGCUCUUACAGCUCUCAACAACUUAUAUAAAGUUGAGCACAGAAAAGAAGCUCGGUGCCGCUUCAAGCUGCUGUCGUUUUAUUUUUUGCAUAGCGUAAAUACACGACACACUCGUGCUCAGGAAAAACGCUUUGGUGGACACACACCUCGUAAGGGUUAGCAUUAGCUGUUAGCUGGUACUUCUUAGGAUUCUUGAUUCUAGUCUUGACAAAAGAGCUUUAUCAGGGCGCAGACUUGUAUGUUAUUCCUUUGUUUCCUGGUAUGUGGAAGUGCAAUUCCUUUCCAUUCCCACAAGCAGAACUUUGUUACUAUAACAGCCAGCGUGCACCGUUUGUCAUGUAAAUCUUUACCUCAGACCAGCCAUUGGAAAGAGCUGCCAUAUUAAUGUCUUCUGGCUUUUCAGCUCUGUAUCCAGCUCUCUCUCUCUUUUUUUUUCUUUCUUCAGGCUUCAGAAUUGUGUCACAUCAGCCUAGACUAUUAAUUAUGGCUUGUGUUACAUGUAUACAGUAUGUGUGGUUUGCUCAUCUGUUCCCUCGUAAUGUUCUUGAAUAUUUGUGUGUUUUGGUUGCAUGUCACUGUUUUAAAUUGCCCAACAUAAAUUUGGGAUUUGUGUUUAGUAAUCGGUUUCCUGUUAUUUCCCAAGGCAGAUUAUAUGAUUAAAUAAUUUCAGGAAAGUAUUCUAGUGUGUUUGGUUAAUGACAGUCCUAUGAGGGCAAAUCUGACCAUGUCCAUGGUAAUUGGCUUUUCCAAAGAGAAUAAAUGGUGUUUGUGUUCAGCAAAUAUCGAUUUAAUAUAGGAAAAUUUGGAAAACUGUUGUCAGAAACAGCGGUUUUCAAUAACAGAAUCUUCUCAGGUUAACAAUAAGACAAAGAUAAUGUAGCCUGUUCCCUUUUAUCGUCUUUAUGUGUUAGAACCACUUGGGUUUUUGUUACGGUCAUGAAUGCAUAUGUCUGUGAGCAAACAGUGUAAUUAGUGUUUCAAAGUUCAUUUGAAUGAUUCCUCAUGUGUGUUUGAAUAAAAAAACAAAACAAAAACCAAGAACCCAGUGAAAGGGGAGGAAAGGAGAAAUCUGAAAUCAGCCGUUUGCUGUUCUUCAAAACAAUGAUAUUAACAAAAGUGUUUAAAGGUUCUGAUCAGCUUUUAAAAAUCAGGGGUUGUGGUAACGAAUGUAUGAUGUAUUGUGCCUUUUUCUUUCUGCACAUCUUUUUUGUGCUACCAAGUCUAUAUAUUGUAUCGAAUAUUGUAUCUAAAUAUAAAUAAAUUUCCUUUUCUUUUUUUUUCUUUUUUUCGGGACAAAGUUUCCUGAAGUUCAGUUUGUGCUGUUUUUGUCUGAUUGCUAGAAAAUAAAGGUUUUGCCUGAGGGGGAUUUGAUCAGUCCUCAGGGCAAAGGCGA
This is an RNA transcript of Oreochromis niloticus (Nile tilapia), 4276 nucleotides long. It is a transcript of the gene named phosphatidylinositol transfer protein beta isoform, with no coding region annotated. The transcript has 13 exons. The record is from RefSeq and is a predicted model, not a curated record. NCBI's taxonomy places the organism in Eukaryota, Metazoa, Chordata, Actinopteri, Cichliformes, Cichlidae.